RNAcentral lists this ribosomal RNA (217 nucleotides) under uncultured bacterium. RNAcentral describes it as "partial 16S ribosomal RNA". It matches the Rfam family "Bacterial small subunit ribosomal RNA", at positions 1170 to 1387 of the family's 1533-position model. The record is from RNAcentral.
CAGGCCUAACACAUGCAAGUCAUCAUGGCCCUUACGAGUAGGGCUACACACGUGCUACAAUGGCGCAUACAGAGGGCAGCCAACUUGCGAGAGUGAGCGAAUCCCAAAAAGUGCGUCGUAGUCCGGAUCGGAGUCUGCAACUCGACUCCGUGAAGUCGGAAUCGCUAGUAAUCGUGGAUCAGAAUGCCACGAUGAAUACGUUCCCGGGCCUUGUACA